RNAcentral lists this unclassified non-coding RNA (385 nucleotides) under Haliotis rufescens (red abalone). RNAcentral's name for it is "uncharacterized LOC124135714, transcript variant X1". Lineage: Eukaryota; Metazoa; Mollusca; Gastropoda; Lepetellida; Haliotidae. The record is from RNAcentral.
UAUUUGGGAUUCUUAAAAUCAAAACUGCACGUGCUGGAUUUGUGCACGCUCUUCACGGGGGCUAUAAGUGACGUCACUUGUGGUCACUCCCCGACUGAAAUUGACAACCUUGGCAUUUGUAAAUGCGUGUGGCUCGAAGUUCAGACAAUCCUGUCCGGUUAAAACAACUAUAAAUAUCAAGCUAACGUUAACACGCUCAAUUCCUUUUCAAUCUUCGUGAGCGUAGCCUAAAACAGAUUUCAAUUAAGAACUAAUGGAAAUGGGUUUUAUCAAGAACACCCUCUACCUGGGGCUUCGGUACGUGUUCCUCUUCCUGCUGUUGGGCUACCACACACUGGCCAAACUGUGGAACACCCUAUUGGCUCCCUUUGAACCAAUCAAAGUU